Musa acuminata subsp. malaccensis (wild Malaysian banana) is the source of this 2421-nucleotide non-coding RNA. NCBI's taxonomy places the organism in Eukaryota, Viridiplantae, Streptophyta, Magnoliopsida, Zingiberales, Musaceae. The record is from RefSeq and is a predicted model, not a curated record.
UCGCCCGGCAGUUAAAGAUGCCGGAGGAGGACACGAAGCCCUUCGUUUCCCGCUUCGCUUGCCAUGGCCCUCACCAACCCUAAUCCCCUUCUCUCCAAACCCUUACCCCCGCCUCUCCUUCGCAUCCCCUCGCGUUGCUUCCUCCGUUGCCGCGCAGCUGCGGACGCCUCCUCGGACUGGUUCCGCCCCCGGGGCGACCCGCCCGAUGGAGGGAGAAUGUCUGCCCGGGACCCCGGGACUCGAAUUAACGCGACGGAGGAGAGCACGGACCAGAGCAGCAGCGGCAAUAAGAAGAAGAAGAAGAAAAGCAAGUGGUGGUGGUGGUCUCGGGACCGGGAGAGCUACUUGGCCAACGACUCCGACGCCCUGCCGUUGCCGAUGACCUACCCUGACUCUUCCCCGGUGUCACCGCAGGAGAUCGACCGCAGGCUCCAGUGUGAUCCCAGUAUCGAGGAUUGUAAGCCAGUGGUGUACGAGUGGACGGGGAAGUGUAGGAGUUGCCAGGGGACGGGGUUGGUGAGCUACUACAACAAAAGGGGGCGGGAGACGAUCUGCAAGUGCGUUCCCUGCCUUGGAAUAGUUUGGCAGGGAAUUAUAUAUAGAUUUGUGCAUCCAAAUUCUGGUGAUGGCAUACACACCGCUGAUACUUCUGCUUCUGUUCCAUCUCCUGAUGUGAUAAGCGGAUGUCAGGACUCCACAUUCUUUAUUUUCAAUCUGACUAUCCAAGUUCAUUAGUUUGAAGCUGGUAAAGUGGUUAUCAGAUUACAGGCUUGAUGCUAUUUUUUGACCCCAAAUGUUAAGGAGAUGAUGCAGGAGUUCAACAAGUAUCAAACAAAAAAAAUCAGAUAGAAGUUGAAACUGAAAGCAAAACCAAGGUUGGGAGUGUGGCAAAUGAUGCAAGCUGCUGACUUAACAAAAAUAGCUUUAACAAGUUCGCAAAGCGGACUGAGAAAGGCUUUAAGGUCCUUGAUAUUGGAGACACUUUUUGGAUGUUCAAUCAAGUUUAUGAUGGCCGAAAUUGUUCAAAGGGACACAAAAAAGAUACCUUUCAAGGAUGCACCCUGAGAUGAGUGCCAGAAUAACACCAAAGGUUUACAGUAAGUUUAGCAUUUUUGCAAAUGUGCCUUGUCCGAUGAACUUUAGUGCAUCAAAAAGUGCUUCCAUAUAAUCAUGUGCAUUUUCUAUUCCUUUCAUAUAUUGUAGUUUUAUCCAGGUCUGAUUUAAAUGAUAUAUUAUAUUUAGUGUAAAAGGAGGCAUAUGUUGGAAAGGAGGGAGUCAUUGCAAGGAUUCAUUGUCUCUUCUAAUACUUGUUCGUUUCUCAUUUACCUUUUUCAUAUAUCUCUCUUUUUUGUUCUGUUUAAGCCAUUAUUAUUUUGCUUGGACCUGCUUCCUGGUUCUUUCUCAUGCCUCAUAUCUUGAGACUUCUUAGACCACUUUUAUAAGACCAACCCUGGAACUAUUAUCUAUAGUUGUUUGUCUCAUUAUGGUGUAUAUGCCGACAUGUAAGUGCAAGAAAUCAGUUGUUGAGAUUCCUUUUUCUUAUGCUACAAUCAUCAUGCAACAUGCAUCUGUACUUAAGAUUAGGGGGAGAAAACCUAAGACAGUUGCUGAAUUAAAUACCUUUGAAUGAAGGCUUACUGCAUCAGAUUUCGCAAAAUGUAGCUUAAGAGUGCAUGAAACCAGGGACACCAGAGGAAUAUAUAGUUUCUAUUACUAGCUAUUCAGACAAGGAGAACAUGUAGGAAUAGGCUUUGGUUGUGUAAAUACCAAUCAUCAAGUGGAUAAGAUCAUGCAUCAACAGCACAUCAUUUGAACAACACAUCACCUGCAGUGCCAUGUCCACCACCUGUGCCUUAAGUACAUAGCAUUGAUAAUUUCAGAAGAUGUCAAGUAAAUCAUUACACAGGUUACAGUUACUGGAUCGAUGAACAUUAUCAAUGGACGGGUACAAAAGCAUUGUUGCAUCGAACCAUAGAUUGAAAAAAAUAGCUCUCUCAAACUUGAAUCAAGAAAUUUGUUAAGAAUUAGGAGUUAGAACUACAGCAUCUACAUACAUUAUUUGAUAUUCUAAAGAAGUGCAUUAAGUCAUAAGGAAGCAACUUAGUAUCUUGUUCCUUCAGUUAAGAGCUUUUGGUACACUUUCAGCUAUCUUAUUUUCUUACUUGUAUUAUGGAUCCCUAAUUUGGUGCCAAUAUGAUUGUCUUCUCCUGGUCAUGAAGACCAUUAUCUUCUUUUAAUGUCAAAUUCUUUGUUCAUGAAUUAUCAGCAGAAGUAUAAAUAGAUUAAAAAUCCAUUGAUAUCUCAUCCUGUUUUUCUCUUCUCUUUUCCUCCUUGCCAACCUCAGCUCAUAGCGUCUUUUCCAAUUUUCGUCGAAGGUGGAGGAUUUGGCUGUUCUUUCCGGAGGGUAAUGGUCUCUUCAAG